UGGGGUAGAAGUACUGAUGUGCCAUGUC
This 28-nucleotide non-coding RNA is filed under the name Homo sapiens (human). The record is from RNAcentral. Lineage: Eukaryota; Metazoa; Chordata; Mammalia; Primates; Hominidae.